UUCAGAGCUUACGAUGUUGUCAUCUUGAGUUUGCACAGCUGCUUUAUCAAAAAACCUGGAUGGAUUUAUAUUUUCAUUGGCAUUAAACGGUAAGACAACCCAUGGAAUGUUCAUCAGUCAAAUUUCAACGAAAGCAAAUGAAGUUAAUUACUAAUUUUCUUCUACAGACUGAGCUGAAUGAUGAUCUUUUAGUUUUAAGGCACAUUCGCUCCAGAUUUCCUCAAUGAAGCAACAAAAACCUGAGCUAUUCUUGUGAAAGGACUGCCUCCAGGU
Phalaenopsis equestris is the source of this 273-nucleotide long non-coding RNA. RefSeq lists it as uncharacterized. The transcript has 3 exons. Lineage: Eukaryota; Viridiplantae; Streptophyta; Magnoliopsida; Asparagales; Orchidaceae. The record is from RefSeq and is a predicted model, not a curated record.